This 721-nucleotide ribosomal RNA is filed under the name uncultured bacterium. RNAcentral's name for it is "bacterial SSU rRNA". It matches the Rfam family "Bacterial small subunit ribosomal RNA", at positions 62 to 762 of the family's 1533-position model. The record is from RNAcentral.
UCGAACGCCGAAGGCCCCUUCGGGGGCCGAGUAGAGUGGCGCACGGGUGAGUAACACGUAGGUAAUCUACCUCUGGGUGGGGAAUAACGACCGGAAACGGUCGCUAAUACCGCAUAAUGCAGCGGCACCACAUGGUGACAGUUGUUAAAGCGGGGGAUCGUAAGACCUCGCGCCUAGAGAUGAGCCUGCGGCGGAUUAGCUAGUUGGCAGGGUAACGGCCUACCAAGGCGACGAUCCGUAGCCGGCCUGAGAGGGCGGACGGCCACACUGGCACUGACAUACGGGCCAGACUCCUACGGGAGGCAGCAGUCGGGAAUUUUGGGCAAUGGGCGAAAGCCUGACCCAGCAACGCCGCGUGAAGGAUGAAGCUUCUCGGAGUGUAAACUUCAUAAGAAUGGGACGAAUAAGGAGGGGUUAACACCCCCUUUGAUGACGGUACCAUUUGUAAGCUCCGGCUAACUCCGUGCCAGCAGCCGCGGUAAUACGGGGGGAGCAAGCGUUGUUCGGAUUUACUGGGCGUAAAGGGCGCGUAGGCGGCGUGACAAGUCACUUGUGAAAUCUCCGGGCUUAACCCGGAGCGGCCAAGUGAUACUGUCGUGCUAGAGUGCGGAAGGGGCUACUGGAAUUCUCGGUGUAGCGGUGAAAUGCGUAGAUAUCGAGAGGAACACCUGCGGCGAAGGCGGGUAGCUGGGCCGACACUGACGCUGAGGCGCGAAAGCCA